RNAcentral lists this long non-coding RNA (708 nucleotides) under Anas platyrhynchos platyrhynchos (common mallard). Its description in RNAcentral is "lncRNA (ENSAPLG00000022194.1)". The record is from RNAcentral. Lineage: Eukaryota; Metazoa; Chordata; Aves; Anseriformes; Anatidae.
AUGGAUCGUGCACACAGCUUGGGAGACUCUGAGGUUGGAAGCCAUGGAGAAAUGGAUACAAUCCUCAAAUACCACCCAGCUUUCCAAGGAAUCCCAGAGAGCACAGCCCUAACCUGCUUCAGGCACCUUUCUUAUGCCAGGACCGUACAGGAUCAGCAAGGGAAGCACAGCAGCAGGGAUCUUCUCACGGGGAGAACAGCCACCUUCAGCAGAGAGGAGCCGUCCAGAAGGCGAGAUUUUCUGUUACCAGGGAAGACAGCUUUUCAUCUGGAUAUCAGUCAGUGUGAAAUUAAAUCCUGGCACAUUUGGGAAAUGGUCCAUGGAGAGGUGAUUAAUUCUGUUAGGGGAUCUGGAGGGAACUCACUCAUUUCCAUUGUUAAAGAAUCCAGAACUCAGAUGGUAGCAGAGGGUUUUUUGAGGUCUAAUCCUUACAACUUCGCUUCAGGAGCUGCUGCACAGGGUAACCCUAAAUAUUCCCCAGGAGGAUGUCUGGGGGAAGACCACAGCCCUAGGGUGCUUUUCCUUCCAGAACUAUUAGCAAUUUCCUGGUUAUCAGGGCAAUGCAGACACACGGAGAACCAUGGGAAGAAGCAGCAUGGUAGAGGUAGCAGGAAAUGUUCCUGUGUACUCUCUGUUCAGCCCAAAGGUCAGAGUUACUAUUACAGUACUAUGCUUGUGCAAAGUGUCACUUCCAACCUUUAUUUUUAA